CGGUGCGGUAAGAGCGCACCAGCGGCGCGGAGACGCGUCGGCUAGGUAAACCCCACCUGGAGCAAGACCGCAUAGGAGCGCACGUGUGGCGGCCCGUCACGCGCUCGGGUAGGUUGCUUGAGCGGCAUGGAGACAUGUCGCCUAGAUAGAUGAUUGCCACCUCGACUCGUGCGAGGCAAGCAUGCGCGUGCGCGCGACUCUCGAGAUCGCACGCAGGGCGCUUGCCGCUUGCAGCACGUGAGGACACAGAACUCGGCUUAUUGCUUGCUUCGUCUA
Molecule: RNase P RNA, 276 nt
Filed under: Bacillota bacterium
Lineage: Bacteria; Bacillati; Bacillota
Description: partial RNase P RNA component class A
Rfam family: Bacterial RNase P class A
About the family: Ribonuclease P (RNase P) is a ubiquitous endoribonuclease, found in archaea, bacteria and eukarya as well as chloroplasts and mitochondria. Its best characterised activity is the generation of mature 5'-ends of tRNAs by cleaving the 5'-leader elements of precursor-tRNAs. Cellular RNase Ps are ribonucleoproteins.
Source: RNAcentral